UACGGAGGAUGCGAGCGUUAUCCGGAUUUAUUGGGUUUAAAGGGUGCGCAGGCGGCACGGCAAGCCGGCGGUCAAAUCGCGGGGCUCAACCCCGCCCAGCCGUCGGAACUGCCGGGCUAGAGUGGGCGAGAAGUGCGCGGAAUGCGAGGUGUAGCGGUGAAAUGCAUAGAUAUCACGCAGAACUCCGAUUGCGAAGGCAGCGCACCGGCGCCCUACUGACGCUCAGGCACGAAAGCGUGGGUAUCGAACAGG
RNAcentral lists this ribosomal RNA (252 nucleotides) under uncultured bacterium. RNAcentral's name for it is "partial 16S ribosomal RNA". It matches the Rfam family "Bacterial small subunit ribosomal RNA", at positions 524 to 776 of the family's 1533-position model. The record is from RNAcentral.